CCUUGGCUGGCUCAGUUGGUAGAGCAUGUGACUCUUGAUCUCAGGGUCAUGAGUUCAAGCCCCAUGUUGGGCA
Non-coding RNA from Ailuropoda melanoleuca (giant panda), 73 nucleotides. The record is from Rfam. Lineage: Eukaryota; Metazoa; Chordata; Mammalia; Carnivora; Ursidae.